This 33-nucleotide small RNA is filed under the name Arabidopsis thaliana (thale cress). RNAcentral describes it as "ATSL105060". The record is from RNAcentral. Lineage: Eukaryota; Viridiplantae; Streptophyta; Magnoliopsida; Brassicales; Brassicaceae.
UCGAGCUCCUUCUUCUUCUGUUCCAUUCCAAAA